CAGCACUAGUUUUCAGAAGAGGAGAAAAGAACAUUUAUCUUUCUCUUGUUGGAAGGAGAGAAUAUCCGAUUUGGGUAAAAGUAUCUGGAAACCUUAUCAGUCAAAUUUAUGUGUCAGAAAAAUAUUUCUACUGGAUUCUUAUGUAUUGGACAAGACGAGAAAGAUCUGAGCAUUGGAUUCUCCAUCCUUGGCGAGGGGACUCAAUUAGCUUUGUAAAGUGCUUCGUGAUCAAGAAGAGAAAUAAUACUUGUGUAUGUUUCUAUGCUGCCUACCAUUCGGUGAAACUAAACACUGUAGUGCACACUGGUCUUUAUAUUCAGAGCAAGCUUCAAAGCUCUGUAUUCUCAGCUACUCCUCUUUACACAUCUGUUUAUUUUCAUGCUUUCCUUUUUAUCGUUCAUUGCUUGCCUGUGUCACAACUGCAUUUGUAUUUCAUUAUUAUUAUUUGUACAUGAAU
This is a long non-coding RNA of Nothoprocta perdicaria, 457 nucleotides long. RefSeq lists it as uncharacterized. NCBI's taxonomy places the organism in Eukaryota, Metazoa, Chordata, Aves, Tinamiformes, Tinamidae. The record is from RefSeq and is a predicted model, not a curated record. The transcript is spliced from 3 exons.